GUCUGUCUAUUUAACAGCAGAAGGGAAGAAGAAUGAUGCCUGCAGUACUCCUGGCUUUCUUCUUCUUCUUCUUCUUCUUCUUCUUCUUCU
RNAcentral lists this microRNA precursor (90 nucleotides) under Marmota monax (woodchuck). The record is from RNAcentral. Lineage: Eukaryota; Metazoa; Chordata; Mammalia; Rodentia; Sciuridae.